UGAUGCGAUCAUACCAGCACUAAUGCACUUGAUCCUAUCAGAACACCGCAGUUAAGUGUGCUUGGGCGAGAGUAGUACUAGGAUGGGUGACCUCCAGGAAAGUCUUCGUGUUGCAUCCC
This is a ribosomal RNA of Arabidopsis thaliana (thale cress), 119 nucleotides long. Lineage: Eukaryota; Viridiplantae; Streptophyta; Magnoliopsida; Brassicales; Brassicaceae. The record is from Rfam.